GACGGGGGGGGCAAGUGUUCUUCGGAAUGACUGGGCGUAAUGGGCACGUAGGCGGUGAAUCGGGUUGAAAGUGAAAGUCGCCAAAAAGUGGCGGAAUGCUCUCGAAACCAAUUCACUUGAGUGAGACAGAGGAGAGUGGAAUUUCGUGUGUAGGGGUGAAAUCCGUAAAUAUACGAAGGAACGCCAAAAGCGAAGGCAGCUCUCUGGGUCCCUACCGACGCUGGGGUGCGAAAGCAUGGGGAGCGAACAGG
RNAcentral lists this ribosomal RNA (251 nucleotides) under uncultured bacterium. RNAcentral's name for it is "partial 16S ribosomal RNA". It matches the Rfam family "Bacterial small subunit ribosomal RNA", at positions 524 to 776 of the family's 1533-position model. The record is from RNAcentral.